Molecule: ribosomal RNA, 447 nt
Filed under: uncultured Bacteroidota bacterium
Lineage: Bacteria; Pseudomonadati; Bacteroidota
Description: bacterial SSU rRNA
Rfam family: Bacterial small subunit ribosomal RNA
Source: RNAcentral
AGGUGGGUAGUCCGCACGAGCGCACCCUAUUCUUAGUUGCCAGCGAGUAUGUCGGGGACUCUAAGAAAACUGCCGGCGUAAGCCGCGAGGAAGGUGGGGACGACGUCAAGUCAUCACGGCCCUUACGUCCUGGGCCACACACGUGCUAUAAUGGCGAGUACAGAGGGCAGCUACCUAGUGAUAGGAUGCAAAUCUCGAAAACUCGUCUCAGUUCGGAUUGAAGUCUGCAACUCGACUUCAUGAAGCUGGAGUCGCUAGUAAUCGCGCAUCAGCCAUGGCGCGGUGAAUACGUUCCCGGGCCUUGUACACACCGCCCGUCAAGCCAUGGAAGCUGGGGGUGCCUAAAGUCGGUAACCGAAAGGAUCUGCCUAGGGUAAAACUAGUAACUGGGGCUAAGUCGUAACAAGGUAGCCGUACCGGAAGGUGCGGCUGGAACACCUCCUUUCU